RNAcentral lists this transfer RNA (159 nucleotides) under bacterium. Its description in RNAcentral is "tRNA-Ser". It matches the Rfam family "tRNA". Rfam says of the family: Transfer RNA (tRNA) molecules are approximately 80 nucleotides in length. Their secondary structure includes four short double-helical elements and three loops (D, anti-codon, and T loops). The record is from RNAcentral.
GACGCGUUAGCUUAGCAACUAAUAGCUUUCCAGAAACCUUAAUCCUAACCGUGGAUCCAAAUGCAACGGGAACGAAUGAGUCAACUUCUGGUCUGUCUGAGGUAGAGCAGUGGCUCGGAAAGCCGCCAGUCGGGGGUUCGAAUCCCUCACGCGUCACCA